RNAcentral lists this long non-coding RNA (798 nucleotides) under Anser brachyrhynchus (Pink-footed goose). Its description in RNAcentral is "lncRNA (ENSABRG00000013236.1)". The record is from RNAcentral. Lineage: Eukaryota; Metazoa; Chordata; Aves; Anseriformes; Anatidae.
CAAAAACAAAACCCCAUAACAAUAUGAAGUAUGUGCCACAUCACUGCCAUGAAUAUCCUGUCCCAGUACCUCAUUUCUUUUCAUCCCUCAAAGUGAUGCUAUGAGGGUAAGUUCACUGAUGUUUCAGGGGUGUUCAGAUACUGUACUGACAGGGGCUGCAUAGGUGAACAGAGAGAGAGAGCAGAUGUACAUUUAUUAAUCUGGUAAAGGAUGGAUAUUUAACUCAGCAGUGCUCCCAAACAAAUGUCAAAGACUGUAUUAUCAGCAUGUCUCUUAUCUCUGGAAUUUUGUUUUGUACUGUGCUACUUUGCUUCUUGGUUUGUGAUUUGUUUUGCAGCUUCCCAGAAAAAGAGAACAUUAAAAACACGAUCAGCAAAAGCCUGGUAAAAGUUGUAACCAGCUCUGACUGUCCAUGGUAUGACAGCCAACAAAUAUCACCUGCUGAUGAUUUACAGAUUCCUGGGAGAUGUGGUGUUGAGUCUCAAAGAACUGGAACAAGAACAACUCACUCAACGUGCUUCUCAGGAAACAAUAUUCCAUGAGCUACGCUUUGGUCCUAUCAAGACAGGCAGGCAGCUGCAUGAGAGGUGGAAAGAGAGAAAAUGAUUGAGAUGAAAUCACCACCAACAACUAUUGCAGGCAGGAAGGCAGUUUUGGAUCCCAGCCACAAUACUUCUGCAACCUGGUUUGAAUGGGCCUGACGGGAUGCCAUAAUGGAACCUACACUGAACAAGGUACGCGGAAAGCUGUCUGACAUGGGCUCUAUUUCAAAGAAAAAAUACAGUUUCCAUCCAGGCU